Molecule: ribosomal RNA, 464 nt
Filed under: uncultured bacterium
Lineage: Bacteria
Description: bacterial SSU rRNA
Rfam family: Bacterial small subunit ribosomal RNA
Source: RNAcentral
CCAGACUCCUACGGGAGGCAGCAGUGAGGAAUAUUGGUCAAUGGGCGGGAGCCUGAACCAGCCAAGUCGCGUGAGGGAAGACGGUCCUAUGGAUUGUAAACCUCUUUAGGCGGGGAGCAAUGCCGGGCACGCGUGCCCGGAGGGAGAGUACCCGCAGAAUAAGCAUCGGCUAACUCCGUGCCAGCAGCCGCGGUAAUACGGAGGAUGCGAGCGUUAUCCGGAUUUAUUGGGUUUAAAGGGUGCGUAGGCGGAGUGUCAAGUCAGCGGUAAAAUUUCGGGGCUCAACCCCGUCGUGCCGUUGAAACUGACGCCCUUGAGUGAGUGAGAAGUAAGCGGAAUGCGUGGUGUAGCGGUGAAAUGCAUAGAUAUCACGCAGAACGCCGAUUGCGAAGGCAGCUUACCGGCGCUCAACUGACGCUGAGGCACGAAAGUGCGGGUAUCGAACAGGAUUAGAUACCCUAGUA